RNAcentral lists this ribosomal RNA (468 nucleotides) under uncultured bacterium. RNAcentral's name for it is "partial 16S ribosomal RNA". It matches the Rfam family "Bacterial small subunit ribosomal RNA", at positions 28 to 507 of the family's 1533-position model. The record is from RNAcentral.
GACGAACGCUGGCGGCGUGCUUAACACAUGCAAGUCGAACGGAAAGGCCCUGCUUUUGUGGGGUGCUCGAGUGGCGAACGGGUGAGUAACACGUGAGUAACCUGCCCUUGACUUUGGGAUAACUUCAGGAAACUGGGGCUAAUACCGGAUAGGAGCUCCUGCUGCAUGGUGGGGGUUGGAAAGUUUCGGCGGUUGGGGAUGGACUCGCGGCUUAUCAGCUUGUUGGUGGGGUAGUGGCUUACCAAGGCUUUGACGGGUAGCCGGCCUGAGAGGGUGAACGGCGACCUGGCGCCUACGAGACGGCCCAGAGUGCUAUGGGAGGCAGCAGGGGGGAAUAUUGCACAAUGGGCGGAAGCCUGAUGCGGCAGCGCCGCGUGCGGGAUGACGGCCUUCGGGUUGUAAACCGCUUUCGCCUGUGACGACGCGUGAGUGACGGUAAUGGGUAAAGAAGCACCGGCUAACUACGUG